This 468-nucleotide ribosomal RNA is filed under the name uncultured bacterium. Its description in RNAcentral is "partial 16S ribosomal RNA". It matches the Rfam family "Bacterial small subunit ribosomal RNA", at positions 28 to 507 of the family's 1533-position model. The record is from RNAcentral.
GACGAACGCUGGCGGCGUGCUUAACACAUGCAAGUCGAACGGACAGGCCCUGCUUUUGUGGGGUGCUCGAGUGGCGACCGGGUGAGUUACACGUGAGUAACCUGCCCUUGACUUUGGGAUAACUUCAUGAAACUGGGGCUCAUACCGGAUAGGAGCUCCUGCUGCAUGGUGGGGGUUGGAAAGUUUCGGCGGUUGGGGAUGGACUCGCGGCUUAUCAGAUUGUUGGUGGGGUAGUGGCUUACCAAGGCUUUGACGGGUAGCAGGCCUGAGAGGGUGACCGGCCACGUUGCGACUGAGAUACGGCCCAGACUCCUACGGGAGGCAGCAGUGGAGAAGAUUGCACAAUGGGCGGAAGCCAGAUCCAGCAACGCCGCGUGCGGGAUGACGUCCAUCGGGUUGUAAACCGCUUUCGCCUGUGACGAAGAGUGAGUGACGGUAAUGGGAAAAGAAGCACCGGCUAACUACGUG